AUUGAACGCUGGCGGCAGGCUUAACACAUGCAAGUCGAGCGAGCGGCGGACGGGUGAGUAAUGUCUGGGAUACUGCCUGAUGGAGGGGGAUAACUACUGGAAACGGUAGCUAAUACCGCAUACAUUCAGAUUUGCCCAGAUGGGAUGAGCUAGUAGGUGGGGUAAUGGCUCACCUAGGCGACGAUCCCUUGCUGGUCUGAGAGGAUGACCAGCCACACUGGAACUCAUGCACGGUCCAGACUCCUACGGGAGGCAGCAGUGGGGAAUAUUGGACAAUGGGCGCAAGCCUGAUGCAGCCAUGCCGCGUGGGUGAAGAAGGCCUUCGGGGUGUAAAGCACUUUCAGCGAGGAGGCGUUACUCGCAGAAGAAGCACCGGCUAACUCCGUGCCAGCCGGCGCGGUAAUAC
RNAcentral lists this ribosomal RNA (406 nucleotides) under uncultured bacterium. Its description in RNAcentral is "partial 16S ribosomal RNA". It matches the Rfam family "Bacterial small subunit ribosomal RNA", at positions 30 to 526 of the family's 1533-position model. The record is from RNAcentral.